Molecule: transfer-messenger RNA, 359 nt
Filed under: Verrucomicrobiota bacterium
Lineage: Bacteria; Pseudomonadati; Verrucomicrobiota
Rfam family: transfer-messenger RNA
About the family: Bacterial tmRNA, also known as 10Sa RNA or SsrA, is named for its dual tRNA and mRNA-like properties. Its role is to liberate the mRNA from a stalled ribosome.
Source: RNAcentral
GGGGGCGCACUGGUUUCGACUCGUAGUUUGAAACGCAGGCGGCAUGUCGAGGAUGGUUCGUUGGCCUCGUUAAAAUCCGGACCAAAAAAAAUAAAUGCAGAUCACCAAGAUCUCGCUCUCGCGGCUUAAUUGACCGUGAUGUUCGGAGCUGGACGCCUGCUACGGCGCCGAACAUGGACAGCAGGCUAAUCGGACGGCGGAGUGACCGCGCCGGCCGGUGAAGGAAUUUCGUGGUGGCUCGGGAGACGGAGUGUGCUGGCGCAGCCUUCGGCUCUCUAAAAAUAAAUCACCAGCUAAACAUGUAGAAGCUUGCGCAGAUGGCUUCGAGGACAGGGGUUCGACUCCCCUCGCCUCCACCU